This 254-nucleotide ribosomal RNA is filed under the name uncultured bacterium. Its description in RNAcentral is "partial 16S ribosomal RNA". It matches the Rfam family "Bacterial small subunit ribosomal RNA", at positions 524 to 776 of the family's 1533-position model. The record is from RNAcentral.
UACGUAGGGAGCAAGCGUUGUCCGGAAUUACUGGGUGUAAAGGGAGCGUAGGCGGGAUAGUAAGUUAGAAGUGAAAUACCUAGAGCCUAACUCAGGUGCUGCUUCUAAAACUGCUAUACUUGAGUGCAGUAGAGGAAAGUGGAAUUCCUAGUGUAGCGGUGGAAUGCGUAGAUAUUAGGAGGAACAUCAGUGGCGAAGGCGACUUUCUGGACUGUAACUGACGCUGAGGCACGAAAGUGUGGGGAGCAAACAGG